Molecule: ribosomal RNA, 165 nt
Filed under: uncultured bacterium
Lineage: Bacteria
Description: partial 16S ribosomal RNA
Rfam family: Bacterial small subunit ribosomal RNA
Source: RNAcentral
UAGGGAAUCUUCCACAAUGGGCGGCAAGCCUGAUGGAGCGACACCGCGUGAGUGAAGAAGGGUUUCGGCUCGUAAAGCUCUGUUGUUAAAGAAGAACACGUAUGAGAGUAACUGUUCAUACGUUGACGGUAUUUAACCAGAAAGUCACGGCUAACUACGUGCCAG